RNAcentral lists this ribosomal RNA (505 nucleotides) under uncultured bacterium. RNAcentral's name for it is "partial 16S ribosomal RNA". It matches the Rfam family "Bacterial small subunit ribosomal RNA", at positions 28 to 507 of the family's 1533-position model. The record is from RNAcentral.
GACGAACGCUGGCGGCGUGCCUAAUACAUGCAAGUAGAACGCACAGUUUAUACCGUAGCUUGCUACACCAUAGACUGUGAUUUGCGAACGGGUGAGUAACGCGUAGGUAACCUGCCUGGUAGCGGGGGAUAACUAUUGGAAACGAUAGCUAAUACCGCAUAAUAUUGAUUAUUGCAUGAUAAUUAAUUGAAAGGUGCAAUUGCACCACUACCAGAUGGACCUGCGUUGUAUUAGCUAGUAGGCGAGGUAACGGCUCACCUAGGCGACGAUACAUAGCCGACCUGCGAGGGUGAUCGGCCACCCUGGGACUGUGACACGGCCCAGACUCCUACGGGAGGCAGCAGUAGGGCAUCUUCGGCAAUGGGCGAAAGUCUGACCGAGCAACGCCGCGUGCGUGAAGAAGGUUUUCGGAUCGUAAAGCUCUGUUGUAAGAGAAGAACGGGUGUGAGAGUGGAAAGUUCACACUGUGACGGUAUCUUACCAGAAAGGGACGGCUAACUACGUG